This 1462-nucleotide ribosomal RNA is filed under the name uncultured organism. RNAcentral's name for it is "bacterial SSU rRNA". It matches the Rfam family "Bacterial small subunit ribosomal RNA". The record is from RNAcentral.
GAUCCUGGCUCAUGAUGAACGCUAGCGGCAGGCCUAACACAUGCAAGUCGAGGGGUAAGGCUUCUUCGGAGAGCACACGACCGGCGCACGGGUGAGUAACGCGUAUGUAACCUUCCUCUUUCAGGAAGAUAGCGCCCGGAAACGGGAAUUAAUAUUCCAUAGUCCAUAAUAAUCACAUGAUUAGUAUGGUAAAGUUCCGACGGAAAGAGAUGGACAUGCGUGUCAUUAGUUAGUUGGUGAGGUAACGGCUCACCAAGACGACGAUGACUAGGGGUUCUGAAAGGAUGAUCCCCCACACUGGUACUGAGACACGGACCAGACUCCUACGGGAGGCAGCAGUGAGGAAUAUUGCGCAAUGGAGGCAACUCUGACGCAGCCAUGCCGCGUGCAGGAGGACGGCCCUACGGGUUGUAAACUGCUUUUCUUAACUAAGAACCGUGGAUAAUCUUAUCCACCUGACUGGUUUUGGAAUAAGCAUCGGCUAACUCCGUGCCAGCAGCCGCGGUAAUACGGAGGAUGCAAGCGUUAUCCGGAUUCACUAGGUUUAAAGGGUGCGUAGGCGGAAUAAUAAGUCAGCGGUGAAAUCUUGCGGCUCAACCGUAAAAUUGCCAUUGAUACUGUUAUUCUUGAGUAUGGUUGAGGUAGGCGGAAUGAGUAAUGUAGCGGUGAAAUGCUUAGAUAUUACUCAGAACACCGAUUGCGUAGGCAGCUUACCAAGCCAUCACUGACGCUGAGGCACGAAAGCGUGGGUAGCAAACAGGAUUAGAUACCCUGGUAGUCCACGCCGUAAACGUUGAUUACUCGUUGUUGGCAAUACACCGUCAGCGACUGAGCAAAAGCAUUAAGUAAUCCACCUGGGGAGUACGUCAGCAAUGAUGAAACUCAAAGGAAUUGACGGGGGCCCGCACAAGCGGAGGAACAUGUGGUUUAAUUCGAUGAUACGCGAGGAACCUUACCUGGGCUUAAAUGUUUAGUGAUCGACCGGGAGACCGGUUUUUCCUUCGGGACACUUUACAAGGUGCUGCAUGGUUGUCGUCAGCUCGUGCCGUGAGGUGUCGGGUUAAGUCCCAUAACGAGCGCAACCCCUAUCGCCAGUUGCCAGCACAUAAUGGUGGGAACUCUGGUGAAACUGCCGGUGCAAACCGUGAGGAAGGUGGAGAUGACGUCAAAUCAGCACGGCCCUUAUGUCCAGGGCUACACACGUGUUACAAUGGUCGGUACAACAGGAUGCCAAUCCGCAAGGAUGAGCUAAUCCCAAAAGCCGAUCUUAGUUCGGAUCGGAGUCUGCAAUUCGACUCCGUGAAGUUGGAUUCGCUAGUAAUCGCAGAUCAGCCAUGCUGCGGUGAAUACGUUCCCGGGCAUUGUACACACCGCCCGUCAAGCCAUGGAAGCCGGGGGUGCCUGAAGUCCGUAACCGUAAGGAGCGGCCCUAGGGUAAAACCGGUAACUGGGGCUAAGUCGU